Molecule: ribosomal RNA, 497 nt
Filed under: uncultured bacterium
Lineage: Bacteria
Description: partial 16S ribosomal RNA
Rfam family: Bacterial small subunit ribosomal RNA
Source: RNAcentral
GAGGAAAGCGGGGGGCGUGCCUAAUACAUGCAAGUCGAGCGAACAGAUGAGGAGCUUGCUCCUCUGACGUUAGCGGCGGACGGGUGAGUAACACGUGGAUAACCUACCUAUAAGACUGGGAUAACUUCGGGAAACCGGAGCUAAUACCGGAUAAUAUAUUGAACCGCAUGGUUCAAUAGUGAAAGACGGUUUUGCUGUCACUUAUAGAUGGAUCCGCGCCGCAUUAGCUAGUUGGUAAGGUAACGGCUUACCAAGGCAACGAUGCGUAGCCGACCUGAGAGGGUGAUCGGCCACACUGGAACUGAGACACGGUCCAGACUCCUACGGGAGGCAGCAGUAGGGAAUCUUCCGCAAUGGGCGAAAGCUUGACGGAGCAACGCCGCGUGAGUGAUGAAGGUCUUCGGAUCGUAAAACUCUGUUAUUAGGGAAGAACAAAUGUGUAAGUAACUAUGCACGUCUUGACGGUACCUAAUCAGAAAGCCACGGCUAACUACGUG